AGGCAUUUGGCAUUGGUAUAUACUCAAUUUUCUAUGCUAUGGGAUGUUUUCAUCGGUAUGCUGUUCACGUAAGGUUUCUUGUACGUUUUGGUGGAUACGUCCAUAAGCCAUUUUCCAGAGCAGUGUUGAUAAUUGAUAGUGUAGAUAUAGUCAAGCUCUUGUUUCAGAUCUUGUUCAUCAAUGGUGUACAUUGCUGCUCUUCUAAAGAAAAACUAAACACCACUUUCUUAAAUGCUGGAGGGUCUGCAGACCAAUUGGGGAUCAACACUGGUUCGUAAGUUGGUUUUCUGUAUACUGAAGUUUUUAACCUGGUAUUCCUAAGUUCUAUGUUAAUAUCCAAGUAAUGUAUUUUGUGGUGGCUAAGUUGUUCUUUCUUGAGGGUGAGGCCAUAUGCCAAGAACAUCAGUGCAUCUGAGAGCUCCAGAAUAGUUUCUCCAGGGUUUCAGCUGUUUAGGUGGUAGAAUCAGUCUUUUUGUGCAAGGAUGGUCAUUCACCAUUUGGCUAAUGAUCGUUCUAGGUUGUACAUAGGGGUACUUCUUUUUUUCCACUAAGGGCCUAGGUGUUAUAGGGUCUUUAUGGGACUUAUAUACACGAAAAGUUUAGGGCAGGCUGGGGUUGGUAUCCUUUGGUGUUCCC
Molecule: long non-coding RNA, 636 nt
Filed under: Androctonus crassicauda
Lineage: Eukaryota; Metazoa; Arthropoda; Arachnida; Scorpiones; Buthidae
Source: RNAcentral